AUGGUCAGGAAAAUUUAUAAUAAGAUUUGGGCAAUGGUGCAUUCAAUAUCAAAAUCUCAUAUUGCUUUUCCAGGAUUAAAUACACGACUGUGCAAGAUGUAUGCAGUCAUUUUUCCUUACUACUAUCGUUGUCGUAUAAAUAGUUUGAUAGAUGAUGACUAUGUUCGUUGUCACUGCAUAAUACAACAAUAUAGAGUCAAUAACUGCAUAAUAUCGCUUCUACUACCUAACCAUAACGUAAAAGAAUCAAUAGGUUUGGAAGAAAUCAAUAGAAACGUGCAAACAUAUUUUACUCAUUAA
This is a non-coding RNA of Vicia faba (fava bean), 300 nucleotides long. NCBI's taxonomy places the organism in Eukaryota, Viridiplantae, Streptophyta, Magnoliopsida, Fabales, Fabaceae. The record is from the annotation of a GenBank genome assembly.